CACACCUUCCCAAGAGUG
Molecule: transfer RNA, 18 nt
Filed under: Crocodylus rhombifer (Cuban crocodile)
Lineage: Eukaryota; Metazoa; Chordata; Crocodylia; Crocodylidae
Description: partial tRNA-Thr
Source: RNAcentral